GCUUACACAUGCAGUCGAGCGGAACGAGAAUAGCUUGCUAUUCGGCGUCGAGCGGCGGACGGGUGAGUAAUGCUUGGGAAUAUGCCUUUUGGUGGGGGACAACAGUUGGAAACGACUGCUAAUACCGCAUAAUGUUUACGGACCAAAGCGGGGGAUUCUUCGGAACCUCGUGCCAAAAGAUUAGCCCAAGUGAGAUUAGCUAGUUGGUGGGGUAAUGGCCUACCAAGGCGACGAUCUCUAGCUGGUUUGAGAGGAUGAUCAGCCACACUGGGACUGAGACACGGCCCAGACUCCUACGGGAGGCAGCAGUGGGGAAUAUUGCACAAUGGGGGAAACCCUGAUGCAGCCAUGCCGCGUGUGUGAAGAAGGCCUUCGGGUUGUAAAGCACUUUCAGUCGUGAGGAAAGGGUGUAAGUUAAUACCUUGCAUCUGUGACGUUAGCGACAGAAGAAGCACCGGCUAACUCCGUGCCAGCAGCCGCGGUAAUACGGAGGGUGCGAGCGUUAAUCGGAAUUACUGGGCGUAAAGCGCAUGCAGGUGGUUUGUUAAGUCAGAUGUGAAAGCCCGGGGCUCAACCUCGGAACUGCAUUUGAAACUGGCAAACUAGAGUACUGUAGAGGGGGGUAGAAUUUCAGGUGUAGCGGUGAAAUGCGUAGAGAUCUGAAGGAAUACCAGUGGCGAAGGCGGCCCCCUGGACAGAUACUGACACUCAGAUGCGAAAGCGUGGGGAGCAAACAGGAUUAGAUACCCUGGUAGUCCACGCCGUAAACGAUGUCUACUUGGAGGUUGUGGCCCUUGAGCCGUGGCUUUCGGAGCUAACGCGUUAAGUAGACCGCCUGGGGAGUACGGUCGCAGAUUAAAACUCAAAUGAAUUGACGGGGCCCGCACAAGCGGUGGAGCAUGUGGUUUAAUUCGAAGCAACGCGCAGAACCUUACACCUGACAUCUCGGACGCAGAGAGAUCUGCUUUCACUCGGUGACGAUGACAGUGCUGCAUGCCUGUCGUCAGCUCGUGUCUGAAUGGUCCGUUAGUUCAGCACGAGCGCACCACUCUAGUUGGCAGCAGUCGCUGGCACUCUAGGAACU
Molecule: ribosomal RNA, 1084 nt
Filed under: uncultured bacterium
Lineage: Bacteria
Description: bacterial SSU rRNA
Rfam family: Bacterial small subunit ribosomal RNA
Source: RNAcentral